This 198-nucleotide ribosomal RNA is filed under the name uncultured bacterium. Its description in RNAcentral is "partial 16S ribosomal RNA". It matches the Rfam family "Bacterial small subunit ribosomal RNA", at positions 328 to 539 of the family's 1533-position model. The record is from RNAcentral.
ACGCUCGACACCUACGGGAGGCAGCGGUGGGGAAUAUUGCACAAUGGGGGAAACCCUGAUGCAGCGACGCCGCGUGAGCGAAGAAGUAUUUCGGUAUGUAAAGCUCUAUCAGCAGGGAAGAAACUGACGGUACCUGACUAAGAAGCACCGGCUAAAUACGUGCCAACAGCCGCGGUAAUCUGAGCGGGCUGGCAAGGC